This is a non-coding RNA of Cordylochernes scorpioides, 71 nucleotides long. The record is from the annotation of a GenBank genome assembly. NCBI's taxonomy places the organism in Eukaryota, Metazoa, Arthropoda, Arachnida, Pseudoscorpiones, Chernetidae.
UGCAUCGGCCAGGAAUUGAACCCUGGCCGCCCGCGUGGCAGGCGAGCAUUCUACCACUGAACCACCGAUGC